RNAcentral lists this ribosomal RNA (250 nucleotides) under uncultured bacterium. RNAcentral's name for it is "partial 16S ribosomal RNA". It matches the Rfam family "Bacterial small subunit ribosomal RNA", at positions 524 to 773 of the family's 1533-position model. The record is from RNAcentral.
CACGUACUGUGCGAACGUUAUUCGGAAUCACUGGGCUUAAAGGGUACGUAGGCGGUUUAUCAAGUCAGGUGUGAAAUGCCUGAGCUCAACUGAGGCACUGCGCUUGAAACUGAUAAACUAGAGUAUUCCAGGGGUGUGCGGAACUGCCAGUGGAGCGGUGAAAUGCGUUGAUAUUGGCAGGAACACCGGAGGCGAAGGCGGCACACUGGGGGAUAACUGACGCUGAGGUACGAAAGCCAGGGUAGCGAAC